This 27-nucleotide small RNA is filed under the name Arabidopsis thaliana (thale cress). RNAcentral describes it as "ATSL104900". The record is from RNAcentral. Lineage: Eukaryota; Viridiplantae; Streptophyta; Magnoliopsida; Brassicales; Brassicaceae.
GUUUUAGUAUGUUUUUAUUUUAUUUUU